CAGUCGCCGCGGGAAUACGAAGGGUGCAAGCGUUACUCGGAAUUACUGGGCGUAAAGCGUGCGUAGGUGGUGGUUUAAGUCCGUUGUGAAAGCCCUGGGCUCAACCUGAAUUGCAGUGGAUACUGGAUCACUAGAGUGUGGUAGAGGAUAGUGGAAUUUCCGGUGUAGCAGUGAAAUGCGUAGAGAUCGGGAGGAACAUCAGUGGCGAAGGCGGCCAUCUGGGACAACACUGACGCUGAGGCACGAAAGCGUGGGGAGCAAACAGGAUUAGAGACCCGAGUAGUCCCUGUCUCUUAUACAC
This 301-nucleotide ribosomal RNA is filed under the name uncultured bacterium. Its description in RNAcentral is "partial 16S ribosomal RNA". It matches the Rfam family "Bacterial small subunit ribosomal RNA", at positions 509 to 809 of the family's 1533-position model. The record is from RNAcentral.